UCCGGGUUGGACCCGGCAGUCCCGCCAGAAAAGGUAACUGGCAGCGGGGGUUGCGCUCGUUGCGGGACUUAACCCAACACCUCACGGCACGAGCUGACGACAGCCAUGCACCACCUGUGCUUCACCCUCGAAGGCGACCACCUUUGGGUGGCUUGCAGAAGCAUGUCAAGCCCUGGUAAGGUUCUUCGCGUUGCAUCGAAUUAAGCCAUAUGCUCCACCGCUUGUGCGGUCCCCCGCCAAUUCCUUUGAGUUUCAACCUUGCGGCCGUAGUCCCCAGGCGGUUCACUUAAUGCGUUAGCUGCGGCACCGAGGGUUACCCCCCAACACCUAGUGAACAUCGUUUAAGGCCAAGACUAC
RNAcentral lists this unclassified non-coding RNA (357 nucleotides) under uncultured bacterium. Its description in RNAcentral is "contains 16S-23S intergenic spacer region". The record is from RNAcentral.